GGAAAGAUUCUAUUAAAUGGCUCAUAUGGUGAAAAGAACAAGUGUGAUACAUGGCAUUGUUCAUCUAAGUACGAAAAGCAAGCAAUGGUGUUAAAGAUGAGUUGAGGCUUGGUUGAUAGCCUCAUAGUGCAAGAUUUCUUAAUUUGAAGAUGAAUGCCAUAGCAAUGAAUAUUGUAUAAUCUCAUGGUGUUCAUGUGUAAUAUAUGACAAGUAAAUUAAGGUGAAGAUAGAGGCAUGAUGGCAUUGGGUUAUUGUUCGGUCUCUAAAUAAAAUGAGAAGCUUGUUAGCAACAAAUGGAAUAUUGAAGUCAAAAGAAGAUAUGAUCUCAAGUGGGUUUCAUUCUUGAUGUC
RNAcentral lists this long non-coding RNA (350 nucleotides) under Setaria viridis. Its description in RNAcentral is "long non-coding RNA (SVIR_LNC011436)". Lineage: Eukaryota; Viridiplantae; Streptophyta; Magnoliopsida; Poales; Poaceae. The record is from RNAcentral.